GGAAAUACACUAAUAUAUAGUUUUAACCUCCCUUGUAGGAUUUCUCUUCCUAUUUGUCUGAUGGUCUUCAUCUGUCAACAAAAGGCAACAGCUUUGUAGCAGCUCAGCUUUGGUCACGCCUGGAAAACAAACUGUCUGCUCUUCCUUCUCUGCUUCCUUAUUGGCGUGAUGUGGACCACACGAACCCCGAGGCCAGUCUUCUGUGACAUCCCUGCAGGGAGGAGCCGGGGCAGCCACCCAGACAGAGCCAGCCCAUUAUCCAGCAGCAUGCUGCAAACUGUGUCCUCAGGGAACAUGGCACUGGGCAGUCCCCAGCAGUGCUCUUCUCUGUCCCCUUCUCUUGGUCUGUCAGAGAAUAAAGGCACAGGUUUCAGACCAGUGCACGUUUUUGGGCAUGGUGAUACACGAGCUUGGAGAAGCUACUAGAAGAGAUCUGCAUCUCUGCUGAUAAAGCUAUACCGUAAGUCAUUUGCCAUGAAGUUAAGAAGACCUUUCAAAUGAGUUGUUAAAAUAAUUUUAUAACUCAUGUAAGUACUGCAGACUAUGCAGGUUUUGGCCAAGAGAACACAAACUACAAAACUGCCUUUACAAACCAAAAAAAGCACUGCCUGCAACCUAGAUGAAAUGCAACAAGUAUGGAAAAAAUAGUUUGGGAAAUGAUUGUCUAGCAAGGCAGAUAGCAGCAAAAAUGAGGAUACAACUAACCAAGCAUAAAAACCAAAUAGCGUUAUCACUGCAGAUAUAAGCCAUCCAUAAUUCUGGGCUGUAUUAACAAUUAUGUUGAUAUGGAACAGGUGUGUUUAUUAUGUAGGGGGUGAGAGACUAAUGGGAGGCUCUCAUGCUGUCCUGCACUGUUAGUCCCAGACUGCCUUUGCUUCUUGAAAUAAUUAAGGAAUCUACUUACUGUCAUCUACUGUGUAACAGUGUUAUAAACUGGAGCCUACAUCGUUAUUUUUCUGUUAUUUUCUGUGCCUGGAGCCAGAGCAGAAGUGAGUUUGAUGUAUAAAUAUUUAUGAGUAUUAAACUGGACUAUCCUUUCUGUAAUAAAUGCUUACAGUAAAGACUGGCUGAACA
This 1074-nucleotide long non-coding RNA is filed under the name Cyanistes caeruleus (blue tit). Its description in RNAcentral is "lncRNA (ENSCCEG00000009396.1)". The record is from RNAcentral. Lineage: Eukaryota; Metazoa; Chordata; Aves; Passeriformes; Paridae.